RNAcentral lists this ribosomal RNA (465 nucleotides) under uncultured ammonia-oxidizing beta proteobacterium. Its description in RNAcentral is "bacterial SSU rRNA". It matches the Rfam family "Bacterial small subunit ribosomal RNA", at positions 198 to 644 of the family's 1533-position model. The record is from RNAcentral. Lineage: Bacteria; Pseudomonadati; Pseudomonadota; Betaproteobacteria.
GGAGGAAAGCAGGGGAUCGCAAGACCUUACGCUGAUUGAGCGGCCGAUGUCAGAUUAGCUAGUUGGUGAGGUAAAGGCUCACCAAGGCGACGAUCUGUAGCGGGUCUGAGAGGAUGAUCCGCCACACUGGGACUGAGACACGGCCCAGACUCCUACGGGAGGCAGCAGUGGGGAAUUUUGGACAAUGGGGGCAACCCUGAUCCAGCCAUGCCGCGUGAGUGAAGAAGGCCUUCGGGUUGUAAAGCUCUUUCGGCCGGGAAGAAAUCGCACAGGCUAAUACCUUGUGUGGAUGACGGUACCGGAAUAAGAAGCACCGGCUAACUACGUGCCAGCAGCCGCGGUAAUACGUAGGGUGCGAGCGUUAAUCGGAAUUACUGGGCGUAAAGCGUGCGCAGGCGGUUUUGUAAGACAGGCGUGAAAUCCCCGGGCUCAACCUGGGAACUGCGUUUGAAACUACAAAGCUAG